GUUCUUCUCGGCGAGCGGGGAUGUAGGUGGGAUUGCGAGAAUCGAAAAGGUUGGAGAUCCCACACGCUCAGCUUCCGAGAAACUCUACGGUAAGCUUGGAGACGGACGGCUUGGACAGUGGGAGCCCUCCCCUCCACUCGGAACCGCUUUGGUAGGUGCGAACAAAAAAGAGAGAGUGUUUGCAAAUAUGCAGAUACAAAGGAGGGAGGGGGGGAUCAUACUUUGUUGAAGUCUGCUGAAAGUUGGGGAUGUCAUCUUCCUAACGAUCAAGUUAACUGGGAGAAUGGGAGAAUGGUUCUUCUCAAACGUGCUGGUGCAGACCAUACGCUGGCACCGCAGAGACCGGGGUUUCAGAUCAUUGAGUCCAGACAAAAGUUUUGUAGGUUGCCAGUGAAAGGAUGCGGAUGAGGGCUGAGGUUUAGAGCGAGAGCCAGGGCUCUAGGGCCUGCCUGUGAUUGGCUGGCCGAUUCGUCCACAGCGGGGAGGUGCCACCUCACCUGGGCUCAGAGCAGACUGUGAGAACCUAUCGGCUCCCCCUCCUCUGCUCGCCACCUGUCCCCC
This is a long non-coding RNA of Oncorhynchus tshawytscha (Chinook salmon), 561 nucleotides long. Lineage: Eukaryota; Metazoa; Chordata; Actinopteri; Salmoniformes; Salmonidae. The record is from Ensembl.